UUACAGGCUUAACACAUGCAAGUCGAGGGGCAGCAUGGUCUUAUCUUGCUAAGGCCGAUGGCGACCGGCGCACGGGUGAGUAACACGUAUCCAACCUGCCGUCUACUCUUGGACAGCCUUCUGAAGGGAAGAUUAAUACAAGAUGGCAUCAUGAGUCCGCAUGUUCACAUGAUUAAAGGUAUUCCGGUAGACGAUGGGGAUGCGUUCCAUUAGAUAGUAGGCGGGGUAACGGCCCACCUAGUCUUCGAUGGAUAGGGGUUCUGAGAGGAAGGUCCCCCACAUUGGAACUGAGACACGGUCCAAACUCCUACGGGAGGCAGCAGUAAGGAAUAUUGGUCAAUGGGCGAGAGCCUGAACCAGCCAAGUAGCGUGAAGGAUGACUGCCCUAUGGGUUGUAAACUUCUUUUAUAAAGGAAUAAAGUCGGGUAUGGAUACCCGUUUGCAUGUACUUUAUGAAUAAGGAUCGGCUAACUCCGUGCCAGCAGCCGCGGUAAUACGGAGGAUCCGAGCGUUAUCCGGAUUUAUUGGGUUUAAAGGGAGCGUAGAUGGAUGUUUAAGUCAGUUGUGAAAGUUUGCGGCUCAACCGUAAAAUUGCAGUUGAUACUGGAUAUCUUGAGUGCAGUUGAGGCAGGCGGAAUUCGUGGUGUAGCGGUGAAAUGCUUAGAUAUCACGAAGAACUCCGAUUGCGAAGGCAGCCUGCUAAGCUGCAACUGACAUUGAGGCUCGAAAGUGUGGGUAUCAAACAGGAUUAGAUACCCUGGUAGUCCACACGGUAAACGAUGAAUACUCGCUGUUUGCGAUAUACUGCAAGCGGCCAAGCGAAAGCGUUAAGUAUUCCACCUGGGGAGUACGCCGGCAACGGUGAAACUCAAAGGAAUUGACGGGGGCCCGCACAAGCGGAGGAACAUGUGGUUUAAUUCGAUGAUACGCGAGGAACCUUACCCGGGCUUAAAUUGCAGAUGAAUUACGGUGAAAGCCGUAAGCCGCAAGGCAUCUGUGAAGGUGCUGCAUGGUUGUCGUCAGCUCGUGCCGUGAGGUGUCGGCUUAAGUGCCAUAACGAGCGCAACCCUUGUUGUCAGUUACUAACAGGUUCCGCUGAGGACUCUGACAAGACUGCCAUCGUAAGAUGUGAGGAAGGUGGGGAUGACGUCAAAUCAGCACGGCCCUUACGUCCGGGGCUACACACGUGUUACAAUGGGGGGUACAGAGGGCCGCUACCACGCGAGUGGAUGCCAAUCCCCAAAACCUCUCUCAGUUCGGACUGGAGUCUGCAACCCGACUCCACGAAGCUGGAUUCGCUAGUAAUCGCGCAUCAGCCACGGCGCGGUGAAUACGUUCCCGGGCCUUGUACACACCGCCCGUCAAGCCAUGGGAGCCGGGGGUACCUGAAGUGCGUAACCGCGAGGAGCGCCCUAGGGUAAAACUGGUGACUGGGGC
Molecule: ribosomal RNA, 1437 nt
Filed under: uncultured organism
Description: SSU rRNA
Rfam family: Bacterial small subunit ribosomal RNA
Source: RNAcentral